Beta vulgaris subsp. vulgaris (sugar beet) is the source of this 107-nucleotide small nucleolar RNA. It matches the Rfam family "Plant small nucleolar RNA R71". Rfam says of the family: R71 is a member of the C/D box family of snoRNAs containing the C (UGAUGA) and D (CUGA) box motifs. Multiple nearly identical copies of this snoRNA have been identified in Arabidopsis, and it is thought to function as a 2'-O-ribose methylation guide for 18S ribosomal RNA. NCBI's taxonomy places the organism in Eukaryota, Viridiplantae, Streptophyta, Magnoliopsida, Caryophyllales, Amaranthaceae. The record is from Rfam.
AGAUUAUGGUGUGUGGAUUCUCUUUACAGAUCCUUGAACCUAUUCCAUGCUUCUUUCAGUGUUUCAUCGGGUUCUUGUUGAAAGGUAGAAAGCUUAUGUAUUAUUUC